GCGCCGCUGGCGGAGUGGGAGGGAGGCGGCCAGGCGAGCGCCCCGCCUUCGUCGCCCGCGGUCACAGGGGCAAUUACACUCCUCGCUGCAGACGGUUACCAGCUCGCCCGCGCAUCCCUCUCUCGGCUCCCCUCUCCUCCCCUCUCCUCUCCUCCCCUCCCCUCCUCCGCGGAACUGCUGGCUCCAUAUUAGCGAGGGUGCCCUGGCAGCGCGACCGAGGCCAACUACCCCUGGGGACCCUCCCGAGGCUCCCCGCACCCUGCACACCCUCAAGAUCGCCAAGGCGAGCCCACCGCACCCCACAGCGCGUCCCAAGGGCACCACAGCCGAGGAAGCGACUUUUGCGGUAGCGAAAGGGUGGCAGUACCCAGCUCCACGCGCUGCAAGACUCUAGCAGCCGCGCUUCACCCCAAAACUCUGCCCCUAGCCAGCACAGCUCCCCUAGCGCCCCAAAUCCCAGGUGUGCCUGUUUCCCUGGAGUCCCGCCGGCGUGCUUUGCUAUUCGCAGCUCGACGCCUAGACCUCCUGACUGCAACCUCCGAGGCCUUUGCGCUCCCAGGCGUCCUUUGCUGCAAGCAAACAGGCCCCCAACCGCCCCCUAUGGUUUGUACUCUUCUGGAAGGUGUCUUUGGCGCUGUGAAUGCAAACUCAGGCUUUGGAUUAAGGGCUUCAUUUUCAACUAACUGUGUGAUUUGAGGCCAGUUUCUUAACCUCAGUUUCUUUAUCUACAAAAUGGGAGGGAUAUUCGUAUAAGUGUGGCUACGAGGUUUAAAGAAGAUAUAGUUAUAUGUCAAAUGCUUAGCACAAAGUCCUGGUGGUUAGCAUUAUUAUUACCAUAUGGCCAGAACUGUGAGGACAUUAAAAGUGAAGUAGGCUUUUUCCCACCAGGGGUAAGCCUCGCGGAGUCCUAGGACACAUCCCACAAACCGAGGUGAACCUAAGCCACCGGCUACGUCUGAAGGGAGGACAGACGAGACGAGGGGCAGCCAACUGAGCGAAUCACUCUGCCUUCCGCCUUUGCAAAUGAAUAGGGCUCUGUCUACAGCUUCCGCCAUUCCUACGCCAGAUCUGCAACGCCUAAGGCUUAAACUUGGCGCGGCGGUAAAUUUAGCCCGAAGGCAGCGGCUCCUAAGGGGCGGGGAUGUCUCCUUGGAAGAAGGAAAGGGAACAGGGUAAGAAAAUGGAGUUGCCUCUAGGAAGAAGAAUCAGGCAGAGGAAACAUUCAGGGCCGCUGGCGGACCACUGACAAAAAGAAAUCGGACGCAAAAGAAACCUCCCCAGAAGAAACUGGGCCACCGUGGGAGCCGUGCGAGACAGACUUCCCAUCUGGGAAGGGCUGCCUACGGGGGCUGCAAACCUACGCCGGCUCUGCUGAACUCUUCGAAAUAUAUAUGCAUAAAUUGUUCCUAAUGAGACCAUCUGUUUUUUAUGGCCCCUCUGGAAGCAGGAGGAACCCGAAGCCUGCUCCGUCUUGCAGAAAUCUGUGGCCAGGCAGGCCUGGGAAAUAAAUAGGGGAGAUUAGAACGGUGUGCGUGAUUUAACAAUACGCAGAACGGCAAGUUCGGUGGUCGAGAUGUGUGCCUCGAUUCCCAGGGGUGCGGGUCAUUUAGGGUGACUCCAGACAUGGGGGUUCCUCCUAGGAGGCCCAGGGACUUUGCGGAGUUCCACGGCACACACGAACCUCGUUUUUCCAUAUCUGGAACAUCGCCAGAGCCACAACGCGAAACCACGAGCCUGUAGCUGCUCUGGGGACCCAAAACAAGCACCCAGGUUGUAGGUGGUCCCCGACGUCGCCCACUAUCUAGGGCCUCCUUCUACGGUGGUGAAGGGAGCUGAACCUGGGCCACAGAGGCAGAGAACGAGCAUCACUCCACCCCAUACCCGGGUCAGAGCACAGAGCUCAUUCCGGGCCUAUCCCAAAGACUGAGCUGCUCCGCGAGCGUCUGGCAGGCCCAGCGCCCCGGCCUGAGACCGCACUGAGGGUGGCAGGGCAAACACUUUUCACAUUACCGCGUGGCUGUUAAUUGGGGCAGUGCAAAAGACGCCGCGACUACCCCUUUGCGGCGGCGGGGGAGGGGGGAGCGGGUCAGGAGUGGGCAGUGGGGGCUGCUUAUAAUAGAAGGACUGCCCUGGGGAGCCUCAGAUAUCGGUAACCCCCAUGAUUAAUUCAUAACUCUCCACUGCGCCUGGCACCGUCUCGGGUCUUUAAUCGGUUCUGAAUGUCAGCGAGGCUUCCCCGACAGCCUGAGCACUGCUUUUUCAAUGUGUUGAAAGUCGCUGCGCGCACACCAGGAGACAAAGUUGCCAUCUGCUCCGGGGACCAAGGCAACUGGGCGCUGGGAGGGGCCUUCCUCCCGCGGCUCCCGCUGCCCCGGGCGGCCUCCUCUUCCCGGCCUGCCCCAAAGCCAACACUGUCACCCGGAACGUCCCCGCCCCCCGCCCCGGGUGCAUGCAUGGUGGAAACUCCGGCUUGCAGCGAAACAGAGCGCUGCGCGCGGGCGCGCAGGGAGCCUCGCGGUCACCCAGACCGAGACCUAUGCUAAUGAGAUUAUAGGCCCGGGUUGUUUGUGUGCGCGGACGUCAAAGGGGGGGCGCAGAUAAAGUGUGGAAACCGGGAUGACUUGGAGGGGGGAGGGGCAGGAAGCCCCAGGAGAACAAAGCUCCUGGCCGUCGGCCUCCAAAGAGUCGCAGAAGUGACCGCCACUGGCUCGUGCACAGGCGGAAGCGGGGGAGGGCGGGGGACGCCAGGCCUAAAGCGCCUCGUGGGUUUAGAGAACUCAGAGAGGGCACCGGGUGGGGGUGGGAAGAAGACUCAACCCGUAGCUAAAUGUUUGGCCUUUGGCUAUUUUUUAAGGAAACGAAUCUCAGGGAGGUCGGGGCGCGGGGGAUGGGGGCAUCAUCGCGCCUCGGAGAUGGGAAGCGAGUUCCCCUCCGCUUUCUGGGAAAAGCCUUGUCUCCCUUCUUUCCCCUCCCCCCAUCCUGCUGAGGGUUUGCGUUGACCCAUCUCUCCGCUCGGGACCGGCAGGAGGACGGAGCCGCAGGGGCUGACCGCGGCCCAGAGGCUGCCCAGGGGUCGCGCUGCUGCCGGCCUGCGCUUCCGCACUCCCGGGUUCGGUGCGUCGCCUCUCGCGGCAGCGCCUCGCUUCUUCCAGACUGUAAUUCCACACUCCCGCAAGCGCUGGGGCUGCGGAAUCGUUUGAGGGAGUUGGAACUGCAUCAGAUGAGCACGCCGGGAGACACGAAAAUUGGACACGUGGAGAAUUAGCCCUGCUGGAGAAGCGCUGGGUGCAGACUCAAACAAUGGUUUCCAGCGCCGAAGCUGAGGCAUCACCUUCCCCACCUCCACCCUCAAAUGGCAGCUGCCUCUAUAUACAGCGGGCACACCCCUUCACUACCCACCCCCUCCCCCAAAGCCUGGUUAGGGACCUAUGUGGGCUGCACGCUCUGGAGCCCCUUGCCCGGACACAAACCCUAGGUGGGCCUGGGCUGCCCGCUGAGUAGCUCAUUGCGCCUGGGAUCCCCUGGGAUUUAGAAGUAUAGGGCUCUCUAUUUUUCCCUAGGAAGGUCCUGUCUCAAAGAUGCCACCCCCAAAAAUUAAUGUGUAAAAACCCAACCAAGCUCCAGUCUCUGUGUCCUUUGGCAAAUCUAUCUUUCCUAGGGCAUACUUUCCUAAGCUGCUGGGACCUUGCCCCCCAUCUGAUGAGCCAUACGCAGGUGGUCUGGCCUCUUCAGAGCAGCUUCCUUUAGUUAUUGUCUUCUCCAGAGGCCCCAUCCUCCACGGCAGCCCUAAUCUUAGCCCCCCAGCCUCUCUGAGCCCCCAUCCCACCCCCACACUGCGCUGAGCUGGCAGCAGCCACAGCUCCCCCAGGCAGUUCCUCUCUCACUGCGCGGCCUGUGCAUCUCGCUGGGGCACACACUCCGCACAGAAGCUCCCUCGCCUCCUGGAGCUGGUUUCCUCUUACAGGCUCCCCUUAGAGCUGCUGGUGCUGUGACAACGCCUGCAUCUCUGUGUCUCCCUGCAGCGCUGCGAGCUGUGAAUCUGCCUUCUCUUCCCUUCCUGCAAAGGUCAAGCUGCCUCCUUCUCUCGCAGGGCCGCAGUUCAGUUCUGGCCUGCAGAGCUUCUACACUGCAACUUGAAUAUGGGAAUGGGGUGGGCAUCGUGCAAGGGAGCAGUCACACUCAAGCCAGGAGGCAGGGACAAAAGGGUGUGCGAUUCAGGGAGGGAAACACUGAGGACAACCCUCAGAAAGCAGUGCAGGAUUUGCAGCUAAAGACUCAAAAGAGGGAGAGAAAACGAGGAAAAGGCUGUUACUAGGUCGUGAGUCCUGAAGUGUAGGCCUUUCUCCUCCCACCCCGUGGGUUGCCCUAGGGGAAGGCCAGAAGAGGCCUCAGGUGUCUGCACUGUGUCCUGUGCAGUUCCUAGGGCCAUGCACUUCCGGUGAGGCUGCACUUUACUCCAAGCAGGAGUCAGAAGCAUGGAAUUCAGUGGCCGCAGGAGCUCAAGUCGGCUGCAGCCCUUUCAAAGAGGGACCCCGAAGAGGCCUUUCUGCCACCCCAGCCCCAGAGAGGCUAUGAGGCUCUACAAGCAGCAGAGAGAAUGAUACGGAGAAAAAUGAGAGGAAACGCUAUUAAACUUGCUUCCUCUAAAGAGCGCUACCCACCGUUUUCUCUGAACUGUACCUAAAAAGUCAGGAGAGAACUCGUUAACUUUUGUUUGGUUUAACAUUGCCAGCUUCAAGUCAACCGUAGGCCCCCCGAAGGUUUUGUAAAAUAUUUAAUCUAGCUCAGACAAUUUCCUGCAGUCCCUAACCAGACCACCCCACUUACUGAGCCGCUGCCAAAAAGGAUGCUUGACUGCAGACUGGCAACCAGAGGCCUUCCAGUCGCCUGGCUGGCCUUGACCUCCACUCGAGGCGCCAGGAAAGACCCUUCCCGGAAUCCCGAGAGACCAAGACCUGGGUAAUCCUGGAGGUCUAAACCCGUGAGGAAGCCCAAGAAAUGGAGUUAAAGACCCUUUUCGCACAACCGAUUGUUGUCUGUGUGACCUUCUGCGGCCCUUGCCCUCUCUGAACCCUCUAAAAUGGGCAUGAGGAUGUCUCACCUUCCUCUGGGUGUUAUGCAUUUUGAAGCGUGGGCACUAUGGGAGAGGCUGACGCUCUGUGUUCCCCAGCGCCCUCCACUCCCACCCCUUCACUGUUUUCUUCGACAUUAUCUCCCUAGAGAACACAGCAAGCAGGAGCGGGAUCCUUCGACUCGGCUGACUCUCAACUCCUUCCAAACGUGAGGCUGACGGGGAGAACUCCUGCUCUGCCCAGUUUCCAUUCCCGCCUCCAGAAUAACGAGCCGAAAACAUGUGUACUGUAAAUAAAGCCUGUCUAAAUAAAGCACUCGGGUAAAGGCUACCGAGAAAACACUCCGCAUCGCUCUGUGCUCAGAGCGUGAGUCAGCUUCCCAGCCCCGGGGGAACAAUGGGGACCUUGCCAAGGGUCCCCUUCUGUCGACCCCUGACGGCCCCCAGGCCCGUUUGGGUGGCGGGAGUGCCGGCACCCUGGGACCUUCGGGCCCGAGGUUCGGGAGGGCUAAGGGCGCUCCAGGCGACCAGGGUUGGGGUCCAGCCCCAGGAUUAGCGCGGCCAGGAAUCCCUCU
This 5646-nucleotide long non-coding RNA is filed under the name Homo sapiens (human). Its description in RNAcentral is "HSALNT0281706". Lineage: Eukaryota; Metazoa; Chordata; Mammalia; Primates; Hominidae. The record is from RNAcentral.